Molecule: non-coding RNA, 966 nt
Filed under: Tropidophorus hangnam
Lineage: Eukaryota; Metazoa; Chordata; Lepidosauria; Squamata; Scincidae
Description: 12S ribosomal RNA
Rfam family: Bacterial small subunit ribosomal RNA
Source: RNAcentral
CAAAGUUUUGGUCCUAAACUUGCCAUUGUUUUUCAUCAAAAUUAUACAUGCAAGCAUCCGCACCCCAGUGAGAAUGCCCAACCCUAACCCACAACAGUAAAGCCGGAGCAGGUAUCAGGAUCAGCCAUAUUCUUGCCAAAGACACCUUGCUAUCGCCACACCCCCACGGGCCCCCAGCAGUAAUUAACAUUAAAAUAUGAGUGCAAGCUCGAUUUAGUUAUGAUUAAUAUGGUCGGUAAAUUUCGUGCCAGCCACCGCGGUUAUACGAAAGACCAAAAACAAUGGCCUUCGGCGUAAAGCGUGACCCAAGACCCGUCCCCCCCCCCCCUUAAAGAGAAACGGCCGCUAAGUUGUAAAACACUAUUGCACGCCGGAACAUCGACAACAUGUCUUUAACUACAAGGACCUCCCCCCUCACGAAAACUAAGAAACAAACUGGGAUUAGAUACCCCACUAUGCUUAGCCCUAAACACAGAUAAUACAAACACAAUAUUAUCCGCCAGAGAACUACAAGCGAAAAGCUUAAAACUCCAAGGACUUGGCGGUGCUUCAAACCAACCUAGAGGAGCCUGUCCUUUAAUCGAUAUUCCACGCUAUACCUUACCCCCCCUAGACAAGCCCAGCCUAUAUACCGCCGUCGUCAGCCUACCUUAUGAAAGAAACAAAGUAAGCAAAACAGUUAAUAACUAACACGUCAGGUCAAGGUGUAGCACAUGGGGCGGCAGAGAUGGGCUACAUUCUUUUAUAAAAAUCACACGAACGGCACACUGAAAUAUGCGCCCAAAGGUGGAUUUAGUAGUAAGAUAAACAAGAAAAGAUAUCUUAAACCUGCUCUGAAGCGCGCACACACCGCCCGUCACCCUCAUCAAUACCCUCAAUAAUACAAAAUAUAAUACUUUGACCCCCCCCCCCAGAUGAGGCAAGUCGUAACACGGUAAGCGUACUGGAAAGUGCGCUUGGAAUAAC